RNAcentral lists this long non-coding RNA (259 nucleotides) under Elaeis guineensis (African oil palm). RNAcentral's name for it is "long non-coding RNA (EGUI_LNC009507)". Lineage: Eukaryota; Viridiplantae; Streptophyta; Magnoliopsida; Arecales; Arecaceae. The record is from RNAcentral.
GUGUAAGAAAGAAAGGAUAUAUAUCAUAUUACCUCAUGCCAUGAAGAUGCCGCGUCCUCUCUUUCUCUUCUCUAUUUUUCUCAUGCACGCCCCCUGAUUUUAUGGUGUCUCAAAACUGAUCACAUCAACCAUUAGCCAUCCCAUAUGACCUAUGGUUUAAAUAGGCAAAGAGUAGUUAGAAUUUGGUUAGGAGAUAAGAGUCCUAUUCUCCUUGGACUCUUGAUUUUUUUGUGCCACCAACCCAACUCCUUUUACACCC